Clupea harengus (Atlantic herring) is the source of this 1298-nucleotide long non-coding RNA. The record is from Ensembl. NCBI's taxonomy places the organism in Eukaryota, Metazoa, Chordata, Actinopteri, Clupeiformes, Clupeidae.
GUGUGUGUGUGUGUGUGUGUGUGUGUUGAAAGUCCAAGCUUUUUCACGGCUUCUCAGUGUCUCGCUCUGGCUUGUCUGUGGUACACGGCACUGCCUGGCAGGAGACCACCGGGGCUGAUGACCAAGAGCCCAGAGUCAACAGUUGGACCACGGCGCUUGCUGAUAAACACACAGCUCAGCAUAUAGACUAAGACUGAGAAAACAGCGCCCCCCACUCCCCCACCCUCCCCCAUGCAAGCGCUCGCAUCCAGUCCGGCUGGUAGCUAAUCAAUCCGGCCUAAUAUUGUUUGCCCAAAGAUUCUCAGAUCCGAGCGAACAGCAGACCACCCGCUGCGCUCUGUCUCCCUGACGCCCAGAGCCUGGCGUCUCCCAGCGCGAGCUGCCCGUUGCUGCUUCCCAGUGAGAGAGCUCAGGGGAUCCUUUAAUGUGGAGGGGGGGGGGCUGAUCUAACGGGGCCAAGUAAAGGUCAGGUUCUUUAUUUUUUUUUUUCUCUCAGAGGAGUUCUUUGAAGGCCUCCCAGCCUUUCUUUUGUGGUGCCAGCGUGCAGGAAUCUGUGAACAAGAGCUCUGGGUUAGGGUUAGGGUUAGUGGGAGUGGAGAUUCGUUUUUUUGUUUGUUGUUGUUUUUUGUUUCACUCAGCAGAAGUCUAAAAUGUGAACAUUGACUACAGGCCUGCCUCUCGGAGGUGCUGACCCGACUCAUAAAACCUCUGAGUUCCAUGUGUGUAGAGGCCCUUGGCACUCACCUCAGAGGGCCCUGGGGCCACAAGUGGUGCUAGACAUAUUUCACCUCUGUAGAAUCUCAGCUCUCAGUGUGUUACAUGUUUGUUUUUUUUUGGUUUGUUUUAGUUUUUCCAUAUGUAAUUGUGGACAUGACUUUUUACUAGGAUUAUUUAAUACUUAAGAUAUAGCUACCUUUUUUUUUAUUCCUGAUUAACUGUCAUUGAUGGCUUUUGUGUUGUUUGUGUGUUUACCUUCUGUAGUGCCAAUGUCUUGUAUAUUCAUGUACUGUAUGUUUUUAGUUGCACAGAUGUUUUGGUACAUAAACUGCCACUAUAUGCGUUUUAAUGGUGCUGAUUUUGUUCAUCAUAAAUUUUAAGAUGUUAUUUCUUUAAUAAAUGAAUGUCUUGACAUAAAUCAGCCCUGUUCAAUUCAGUAAAACUGAUAAAAAAAAUAGAAAGUAAAAAUGAAAUGACAGAGGAUAAAGUCUUACAGCUCAACUGUAAAUUGUUUGCAGGACAAUAAAUGGAAUCUUAUUAACAUUAUGUGACAGUCAGCUAAUUUCACCCAUUAUUCCUGU